UGUGGAAUUGUAAUCCUGAAUGUUGC
Molecule: non-coding RNA, 26 nt
Filed under: Homo sapiens (human)
Lineage: Eukaryota; Metazoa; Chordata; Mammalia; Primates; Hominidae
Source: RNAcentral